This 253-nucleotide ribosomal RNA is filed under the name uncultured bacterium. Its description in RNAcentral is "partial 16S ribosomal RNA". It matches the Rfam family "Bacterial small subunit ribosomal RNA", at positions 524 to 776 of the family's 1533-position model. The record is from RNAcentral.
UACGUAGGGGGCUAGCGUUGUCCGGAUUUAUUGGGCGUAAAGAGCGUGUAGGCGGCCAGGUAGGUCUGGCGUGAAAACUCGAGGCUUAACCUCGAGAUGUCAUCGGAAACCAUCUGGCUAGAGUCCGGAAGAGGAGAGUGGAAUUCCUGGUGUAGCGGUGAAAUGCGCAGAUAUCAGGAAGAACACCAAUGGCGAAAGCAGCUCUCUGGGACGGUACUGACGCUGAGAAGCGAAAGCAUGGGGAGCGAACAGG